UGGCGCACAGGUGCGUAACGCGUGGGAAUCUGCCCCUUGGUUCGGAAUAACAGUUGGAAACGACUGCUAAUACCGGAUGAUGACGUAAAAUCCAAAGAUUUAUCGCCGAGGGAUGAGCCCGCGUAGGAUUAGGUAGUUGGUGUGGUAAAGGCGCACCAAGCCGACGAUCCUUAGCUGGUCUGAGAGGAUGAUCAGCCACACUGGGACUGAGACACGGCCCAGACUCCUACGGGAGGCAGCAGUGGGGAAUAUUGGACAAUGGGCGAAAGCCUGAUCCAGCAAUGCCGCGUGAGUGAUGAAGGCCUUAGGGUUGUAAAGCUCUUUUACCCGGGAUGAUAAUGACAGUACCGGGAGAAUAAGCUCCGGCUAACUCCGUGCCA
This 380-nucleotide ribosomal RNA is filed under the name uncultured Sphingomonas sp. RNAcentral describes it as "bacterial SSU rRNA". It matches the Rfam family "Bacterial small subunit ribosomal RNA", at positions 96 to 510 of the family's 1533-position model. The record is from RNAcentral. Lineage: Bacteria; Pseudomonadati; Pseudomonadota; Alphaproteobacteria; Sphingomonadales; Sphingomonadaceae.